GGCCGCCUGGCGAAAUGGCAUCGCGUCUGACCUACGAUUCGUUGUCAUCAGGAGAUUGCAGGUUCGACCCCUGCGGUGGUCA
Molecule: non-coding RNA, 82 nt
Organism: Mycena olivaceomarginata
Lineage: Eukaryota; Fungi; Basidiomycota; Agaricomycetes; Agaricales; Mycenaceae
Source: the annotation of a GenBank genome assembly